UGACCUAAACCCUCACCAGAGUAACAAUUGGAGGGCAAGUCUGGUGCCAGCAGCCGCGGUAAUUCCAGCUCCAAUAGCGUAUAUUAAACUUGUUGCAGUUAAAAAGCUCGUAGUUGAAUUUUUGCGUGGUGUUAAUAUUGACUGAUGUCGAGAUUGCACUUCGCUUUUGGGAUUUAUCCCUUUUUACUUUGAGAAAAUUAGAGUGUUUCAAGCAGACUUUUGUCUUGAAUACUUCAGCAUGGAAUAAUAGAGUAGGACUUUGGUUCUAUUUUGUUGGUUUGUGAACCUUAGUAAUGGUUAAUAGGAACGGUUGGGGGCAUUCGUAUUUAACUGUCAGAGGUGAAAUUCUUAGAUUUGUUAAAGACGAACUACUGCGAAAGCAUUUGCCAAGGACGUUUUCAUUAAUCAAGAACGAAAGUUAGGGGAUCGAAGACGAUCAGAUACCGUCGUAGUCCUAACCAUAAACUAUGCCGACUAGGGAUUGGAGGUCGUCAUUUUUCCGACUCCUUCAGCACCUU
RNAcentral lists this ribosomal RNA (518 nucleotides) under Babesia capreoli. Its description in RNAcentral is "SSU rRNA". It matches the Rfam family "Eukaryotic small subunit ribosomal RNA", at positions 521 to 1089 of the family's 1831-position model. Lineage: Eukaryota; Apicomplexa; Aconoidasida; Piroplasmida; Babesiidae. The record is from RNAcentral.